Small nuclear RNA from Delphinapterus leucas (beluga whale), 106 nucleotides. NCBI's taxonomy places the organism in Eukaryota, Metazoa, Chordata, Mammalia, Artiodactyla, Monodontidae. The record is from Ensembl.
GUGCCCAUUUCAGCAGCACAUAUACUAAAAUUGGAAUGUUACAGAGAAGGUUAGCAUGAUCCCUAGCAAGGAUGAUAUGCAAAUUUCUGAAGUGUCCCAUAUUUUU